This 377-nucleotide ribosomal RNA is filed under the name uncultured bacterium. Its description in RNAcentral is "partial 16S ribosomal RNA". It matches the Rfam family "Bacterial small subunit ribosomal RNA", at positions 338 to 707 of the family's 1533-position model. The record is from RNAcentral.
CCUACGGGCGGCAGCAGUGGGGAAUAUUGCGCAAUGGGCGAAAGCCUGACGCAGCGACGCCGCGUGAGGGAUGAAGGUCUUCGGAUCGUAAACCUCUGUCAGCAGGGAAGAACGGUCACUGUGCUAAUCAGCAGUGAAUUGACGGUACCUGCAAAGGAAGCACCGGCUAACUCCGUGCCAGCAGCCGCGGUAAUACGGAGGGUGCGAGCGUUAAUCGGAAUUACUGGGCGUAAAGCGCUCGUAGGCGGUAUGUCAAGUCGAGGGUGAAAUCCUCGGGCGCAACGUGGGAACUGCCUUUGAAACGGGGAGGAGAGAGGAUAGGAGAGGGGGGUAGAAGUGCGGGUGGAGAGGGGAAAUGCGGAGAGAGCAGGAGGAAU